AAAUUGAAGAGUUUGAUCAUGGCUCAGAUUGAACGCUGGCGGCAGGCCUAACACAUGCAAGUCGAACGGUAACAGGAAGCAGCUUGCUGCUUCGCUGACGAGUGGCGGACGGGUGAGUAAUGUCUGGGAAACUGCCUGAUGGAGGGGGAUAACUACUGGAAACGGUGGCUAAUACCGCAUAACGUCGCAAGACCAAAGAGGGGGACCUUCGGGCCUCUUGCCAUCAGAUGUGCCCAGAUGGGAUUAGCUUGUUGGUGAGGUAACGGCUCACCAAGGCGACGAUCCCUAGCUGGUCUGAGAGGAUGACCAGCCACACUGGAACUGAGACACGGUCCAGACUCCUACGGGAGGCAGCAGUGGGGAAUAUUGCACAAUGGGCGCAAGCCUGAUGCAGCCAUGCCGCGUGUAUGAAGAAGGCCUUCGGGUUGUAAAGUACUUUCAGCGGGGAGGAAGGUGUUGUGGUUAAUAACCACAGCAAUUGACGUUACCCGCAGAAGAAGCACCGGCUAACUCCGUGCCAGCAGCCGCGGUAAUACGGAGGGUGCAAGCGUUAAUCGGAAUUACUGGGCGUAAAGCGCACGCAGGCGGUCUGUCAAGUCGGAUGUGAAAUCCCCGGGCUCAACCUGGGAACU
This 632-nucleotide ribosomal RNA is filed under the name Salmonella enterica. RNAcentral describes it as "bacterial SSU rRNA". It matches the Rfam family "Bacterial small subunit ribosomal RNA", at positions 1 to 622 of the family's 1533-position model. The record is from RNAcentral. Lineage: Bacteria; Pseudomonadati; Pseudomonadota; Gammaproteobacteria; Enterobacterales; Enterobacteriaceae.